AACGGUCUAUACCUGCGGUACCUGCGGAAGGAUCAUUAUAGAGUGGUAAACCCCCCGUAAAAGGGGGGGACCUCCUGUCCUUUGUAGGCUCUUUUUUAAAAGGGCUUUUUUUAAUUUUCUGCUUCGGUGGGGUUAUCCCACCGGAACAACCUCAAAACUCUUAUCAAAAAAUCGUUCUGUCUGAGAACCUUUUAUAAUAAAAAAAAACUUUCAACAAUGGAUCUCUAGAUCGGAAGAGCA
This 240-nucleotide unclassified non-coding RNA is filed under the name soil metagenome. RNAcentral's name for it is "partial contains 5.8S ribosomal RNA, internal transcribed spacer 2, and large subunit ribosomal RNA". The record is from RNAcentral.